AUGGCAACAGUGCUCAAAAGGAAGGAAGAUAAUUAAAAUGGGAGACGGAGCCAUCAAAAACACGUGGAGCAAAGUUACUACAUGAGCCGAGACUGAAAGAAUGCUCUCCUGACACCAGUUCUUGGACUACAAAUUUGUUUGGAUUCCCAGAGAUUUUUACACUCUACUAACAUUUAUGAUUUGUGAGAGAUACCCUGUUCCCUGAGGGGCAUGCAUCAUGCACAGGAAAACCACAGGAUCUGGGAAAUGCAGGAUGACCC
This is a long non-coding RNA of Symphalangus syndactylus (siamang), 260 nucleotides long. RefSeq lists it as uncharacterized. The record is from RefSeq and is a predicted model, not a curated record. NCBI's taxonomy places the organism in Eukaryota, Metazoa, Chordata, Mammalia, Primates, Hylobatidae.